AACUAUAACGGUCCUAAGGUAGCGAAAUUCCUUGUCAGGUAAGUUCUGACCCGCACGAAUGGCGUAAUGAUUUGGGCACUGUCUCAACAGCCCGCCCGGCGAAAUUGUAGUACUGGUGAAGAUGCCAGUUACCCGCAACUAGACGGAAAGACCCCAUGGAGCUUUACUGCAGCUUAAUACUGAAAUUCGGUAGUACAUGUACAGGAUAGGUGGGAGACUGAGAAAUACAGGCGUCAGCUUGUAUGGAGUCGCUGUUGGGAUACCACUCUUGUACUGCUGGGUUUCUAACCUGCGGCCGUGAAUCCGGUCGGGGGACACUGUUAGGCGGGCAGUUUGACUGGGGCGGUCGCCUCCCAAAAGGUAACGGAGGCGCUCAAAGGUUCGUUCAGCACGGACGGAAAUCGUGCAAUGAGUGUAAACGCAUAAACGAGCCUAACUGCGACACCGACGGGUCGAGCAGUAACGAAAGUUGGAGUUAGUGAUCCGGUGGUAUGUGAGUGGAAAUGCCAUCGCUCAACGGAUAAAAGCUACCCUGGGGAUAACAGGCUGAUCUCCCCCAAGAGUCCACAUCGACGGGGAGGUUUGGCACCUCGAUGUCGGCUCAUCGCAUCCUGGGGCUGAAUUCGGUCCCAAGGGUUUGGCUGUUCGCCAAUUAAAGCGGCACGCGAGCUGGGUUCAGAACGUCGUGAGACAGUUCGGUCCCUAUCUGUUGCGGGCGUAAGAGAUUUGAAGGGAGCUGUCCUUAGUACGAGAGGACCGGGAUGGACGUACCUCUGGUGCACCAGUUGUCCUGCCAAGGGCAUAGCUGGGUAGCUAUGUACGGACGAGAUAAACGCUGAAAGCAUCUAAGCGUGAAACUCCCCCUAAGAUGAGAUCUCUCAUCCUUCAAGGAGUAAGGACCCAGAAAGACGAUCUGGUUGAUAGGCCGAAGGUGGAAGCGCAGUAAUGUGUGCAGCUGAUCGGUACUAAUAGUCCGAGGGCUUGACCUA
Molecule: ribosomal RNA, 989 nt
Filed under: human gut metagenome
Description: bacterial LSU rRNA
Rfam family: Bacterial large subunit ribosomal RNA
Source: RNAcentral